AAUUCCCCACCUUUUCCACUUUUUUUUGAAAAAGCUUGGAUUUUGGGAGUUGUUGCAGGCUGCUCAGAAGUCUGCUCUCCUUAAAUGUAUUAGCGGGGCCCUUGUUGUCUAGCAUUUGGUGUGAUAAUUAUCUACGCCAUUGUGAACAAUGUAAUAGGUCGGCUUCUAAUCGUCUCGUAAAGAGACAAUCUCUGACAUUU
RNAcentral lists this unclassified non-coding RNA (200 nucleotides) under Tricholoma matsutake. RNAcentral describes it as "ITS2". Lineage: Eukaryota; Fungi; Basidiomycota; Agaricomycetes; Agaricales; Tricholomataceae. The record is from RNAcentral.